This 468-nucleotide ribosomal RNA is filed under the name uncultured bacterium. RNAcentral's name for it is "partial 16S ribosomal RNA". It matches the Rfam family "Bacterial small subunit ribosomal RNA", at positions 29 to 507 of the family's 1533-position model. The record is from RNAcentral.
UACGCACGCUGGCGGCGUGCUUAACACAUGCAAGUCGAACGGAAAGGCCCUGCUUUUGUGGGGUGCUCGAGUGGCGAACGGGUGAGUAACACGUGAGUAACCUGCCCUUGACUUUGGGAUAACUUCAGGAAACUGGGGCUAAUACCGGAUAGGAGCUCCUGCUGCAUGGUGGGGGUUGGAAAGUUUCGGCGGUUGGGGAUGGACUCGCGGCUUAUCAGCUUGUUGGUGGGGUAGUGGCUUACCAAGGCUUUGACGGGUAGCCGGCCUGAGAGGGUGACCGGCCACAUUGGGACUGAGAUACGGCCCAGACUCCUACGGGAGGCAGCAGUGGGGAAUAUUGCACAAUGGGCGGAAGCCUGAUGCAGCAACGCCGCGUGCGGGAUGACGGCCUUCGGUUUGUAAACCGCUUUCGCCUGUGACGAAGCGUGAGUGGCGGUAAUGGGUAAAGAAGCACCGGCUAACUACGUG